GGAAUUGCGUUAGAUCAGUGCCCCUUUAACUUGAGAUGUUACAUGGAAAAAAAUUGUCGUCAAAACUUGUCAUCCUACAAAUUGUAUAUUUGAAAUAGAAAUCUGAAACUGUAGACAGGUGAUGUUACUCCUUAUCAUAUAUUUGAAAUAGAAAUCUGAAACUGUAGACAGGUGAUGUUACUCCUUAUCAUUCAUUCGAAAUAGAAAUCUGAAACUGUAGACAGGUGAUGUUACUCCUUAUCAUAUAUUUGAAAUAGGAGUCUGAAACUGUAGACAGGUGAUGUUACUCCUUAUCAUAUAUUUGAAAUAGAAGUCUGAAACCAAGUAGACAGGUGAUGUUACUCCUUAUCAUAUAUUUGAAAUAGAAAUCUGAAACAGUAGACAGGUGAUGUUACUCCUUAUCAUAUAUUUGAAAUAUAAAUCUGAAACCAAGUAGAAAGGUGAUGUUACUCCUUAUCAUAUAUUUGAAAUAGAAGUCUGAAACUGUAGACAGGUGAUGUUACUCCUUAUCAUAUAUUUGAAAUAGAAAUCUGAGACUGUAGACAGGUGAUGUUACUCCUUAUCAUAUAUUUGAAAUAGAAGUCUGAAACCAAGUAGACAGGUGAUGUUACUCCUUAUCAUAUAUUUGAAAUAGAAAUCUGAAACUGUAGACAGGUGAUGUUACUCCUUAUCAUAUAUUUGAAAUAGAAAUCUGAAACCAAGUAGACAGGUGAUGUUACUCCUUAUCAUAUAUUUGAAAUUUAAAUCUGAAACCAAGUAGACAGGUGAUGUUACUCCUUAUCAUAUAUUUGAAAGAGAAAUCUGAAACUGUAGACAGGUGAUGUUACUCCUUAUCAUAUAUUUGAAAUAGAAAUCUGAAACCAAGUAGACAGGUGAUGUUACUCCUUAUCAUAUAUUUGAAAUAGAAGUCUGAAACUGUAGACAGGUGAUGUUACUCCUUAUCAUAUAUUUGAAAUAGAAGUCUGAAACUGUAGACAGGUGAUGUUACUCCUUAUCAUAUAUUUGAAAUAGAAAUCUGAAACUGUAGACAGGUGAUGUUACUCCUUAUCAUAUAUUUGAAAUAGAAGUCUGAAACCAAGUAGACAGGUGAUGUUACUCCUUAUCAUAUAUUUGAAAUAGAAGUCUGAAACUGUAGACAGGUGAUGUUACUCCUUAUCAUAUAUUUGAAAUUUAAAUCUGAAACCAAGUAGACAGGUGAUGUUACUCCUUAUCAUAUAUUUGAAAUUUAAAUCUGAAACUGUAGACAGGUGAUGUUACUCCUUAUCAUAUAUUUGAAAUUUAAAUCUGAAACCAAGUAGACAGGUGAUGUUACUCCUUAUCAUAUAUUUGAAAUAGAAAUCUGAAACCAAGUAGACAGGUGAUGUUACUCCUUAUCAUAUAUUUGAAAUUUAAAUCUGAAACUGUAGACAGGUGAUGUUACUCCUUAUCAUAUAUUUGAAAUUUAAAUCUGAAACCAAGUAGACAGGUGAUGUUACUCCUUAUCAUAUAUUUGAAAUAGAAAUCUGAAACUGUAGACAGGUGAUGUUACUCCUUAUCAUAUAUUUGAAAUAGAAGUCUGAAACUGUAGACAGGUGAUGUUACUCCUUAUCAUAUAUUUGAAAUAUAAAUCUGAAACUGUAGACAGGUGAUGUUACUCCUUAUCAUUCAUUUGAAAUAGAAAUCUGAAACCAAGUAGACAGGUGAUGUUACUCCUUAUCAUAUAUUUGAAAUAGAAAUCUGAAACCAAGUAGACAGGUGAUGUUACUCCUAAUCAUUCAUUUGAAAUAGAAAUUUGAAACCAAGUAGACAGGUGAUGUUACUCCUAAUCAUUCAUUUGAAAUAGAAAUCUGAAACCAAGUAGACAGGUGAUGUUACUCCUUAUCAUAUAUUUGAAAUAGAAAUCUGAAACCAAGUAGACAGGUGAUGUUACUCCUAAUCAUUCAUUUGAAAUAGAAAUUUGAAACCAAGUAGACAGGUGAU
Molecule: long non-coding RNA, 1959 nt
Filed under: Haliotis rufescens (red abalone)
Lineage: Eukaryota; Metazoa; Mollusca; Gastropoda; Lepetellida; Haliotidae
Description: uncharacterized LOC124133915, transcript variant X2
Source: RNAcentral